This 228-nucleotide long non-coding RNA is filed under the name Lathyrus oleraceus (garden pea). Its description in RNAcentral is "Pisum sativum (pea) long non-coding RNA (PSAT_LNC001522)". Lineage: Eukaryota; Viridiplantae; Streptophyta; Magnoliopsida; Fabales; Fabaceae. The record is from RNAcentral.
UAAAAGUCCACCAAUCAAACUAGGUCAAAAAUAAAUCGAAAAUAAAUUGAAAAUGUGAAAUAAAAUUCCAAGAAAAGGUCAGGUUGACCAUGAGACAGUGGUCAACCUCCAUCCCAAAAAUCAAAUGCUAACAAUAAUUUUAUGUCAUAAAAAUAAAAUCAAUAAAAAAAAGGUGUGUUAAAAUGGACCAGUUAGAAUAAAUAAUUAAAAUAAAAUAUUAAUAUUAAC